Molecule: ribosomal RNA, 541 nt
Filed under: Cryptosporidium fayeri
Lineage: Eukaryota; Apicomplexa; Conoidasida; Eucoccidiorida; Cryptosporidiidae
Description: SSU rRNA
Rfam family: Eukaryotic small subunit ribosomal RNA
Source: RNAcentral
GUAUUGGCCUACCGUGGCAAUGACGGGUAACGGGGAAUUAGAGUUCGAUUCCGGAGAGGGAGCCUGAGAAACGGCUACCACAUCUAAGGAAGGCAGCGGGCGCGCAAAUUACCCAAUCCUAAUACAGGGAGGUAGUGACAAGAAAUAACAACACAGGACUUUUUGGUUUUGUAAUUGGAAUGAGUUAAGUAUAAACCCCUUUACAAGUAUCAAUUGGAGGGCAAGUCUGGUGCCAGCAGCCGCGGUAAUUCCAGCUCCAAUAGCGUAUAUUAAAGUUGUUGCAGUUAAAAAGCUCGUAGUUGGAUUUCUGUUAAUAAUUUAUAUAUUAUACUUUUUAAGGUGUUUAUAUAAUAUUAACAUAAUUCAUAUUACUAUAUUUUUUUAGUAUAUGAAAUUUUACUUUGAGAAAAUUAGAGUGCUUAAAGCAGGCGUUAGCCUUGAAUACUCCAGCAUGGAAUAAUAUUAAAGAUUUUUAUCUUUCUUAUUGGUUCUAAGAUAAGAAUAAUGAUUAAUAGGGACAGUUGGGGGCAUUUGUAUUUAA